AAACAAAGACAGCAUUAGAUUAAUUGUAGAGCUUUUAAUUCAACAACCAUCUCAUGCAUCAUGCAUCAUGCAUAUUCAUACUCCACCAACAUCCAUCCAUCCAUCCACCCAUAUCUACACUAUCCAUUCAACAACAACAUUCACUUUCCUCAAAACAUAAACAUGUCCUACAUUUAACACAUAUUGGAAGCCAGCAUGAUGCUCACACCAUCAUCAUAUCUUCUUAAUUAUUCCCCAUAUCAUCAUCACCAUCAUCAUGAAAGGAUUCUUCAAUGGCGUUUGUUGGCAACAUUGCAUUGCUUUCUGAUCUCACCUUCAUUACCCGUGAGUGGAUUGUUCUCAGUAAGAACAGUAAUGGCUCUUCCAAAAUGCUUAAAGAAAUAAUCUUGAUUCUUUGCCAUUUUCUUCACAUAUGGUUUAGUUCUCUUGUCUGUAGCUAACUGAUGAUCCACAAUCAACAAACCCUUGUUGUCCAAUAUGUUUCUGUAGUAGUUGUUGUCUAGUUUCAUAGGGGUACCACGGUCAUUUCUCACAUACUGAACUGCCUUGGGGUCAGGGAUCGCAUCCGGACACUUAUGGAGCAUGUGCUCAACAUGACCCGGGUCAAGAACCGGGUCAACCUCUGGAUACAAACGGUGCACCAACUUCACACAGUGUGUCCUACCCACGCUAUGAGAACCUGUUUCAAGAAAACCACCAUUAAUUAGGGUAUGCACUAACAUUUCAUUUACAGUAUCAUGAUGCAUGAUGCAUGAUGGAUGAUGAUGAUGAUAGACAUAUAUACCUAGUAAAGCAACAACACCAGGGGUGUCGAUGCCGAUGUUCUUGAACCUUUCAAGAACAACAGUCAUGGAUUCAUUAUGAUCUGGGAGGUAUUGCUCCAAUAUAUCAGCUCUGCUCUUCCUGCCAUCUCUUCUUCCUGUUUUUAGUGGGAUGUAUGGCCCUCCAAGCUGCCAUUAUUAAAAAAAGAGAGAACAAAUUAGACAGAAAAAUGAUACUUUUUUUUAGUAAAUUGAUUCGGAUAAUUAUAUGAUGAUGAAAAUAAUAUUGGUUAUGUAAUCAGAGACUAAAAACGCAAAGAUUACGUGGGUUUUAGUUAAUAGUCCAAGGAAGAUGACUUUAUAAAAGGUUAUCUCCUUUUUCCUAUGUGAUAGAUCUUUAUUAAUUAUAAAAAUGGGAAGAGACUAUAAUUCAUCACAUCCGACAAGUAUUGAUCUAUAUUUGUGCUUAAAACUCUACGAAAAAGUGGACCUUUUGGCUUUUGCAACACCAAGUACAAGGCUACAAGCAAAGUCUUAUUUUUUUAUUCAUAUCUUUCUGCCGAAUAUAUAUACAAUUGAAGUAACAAUAAAUGAUAAGUUUAUGGAUUGAAUGAAAAAUGUCCAACUGCCUUUUCUUAUCUGUUUUGAAUAAGAUUUUUUUUAAUUAGAUAAAAAAAUACGUGACAUAAAUGCUUAAAUAUAAAAUAUAUAACAAAUUUAUAGAAAGAUAGGAGUUCAUUCCUUAUAUUAAUCCUAUAUUUUCCUUUACGGAUUAAAGUAAAAAAGAAACCGUUUACAUAUAUAUGGCUUCCUAAAUUACCUCAAUAUUUGUUUAAGUAAAAAAAAAAUUAAAAAAAAAAAUCAAACAAGUGCAAACAUGUGAUGUUCAACAGAAAACAAGCCAAAAACAAGAAAAAUCAUAAAUAAAAGAAAUAAAACGUGGAAUUUACGCAAUGAUUUAAAUGUAUUUUUGGGUGAAAAUUUUCUAUUUAUAAAUUUAUACAACUUUUUUUUUUCUUAUAUAAUUUAAUAUUCAUCGACUACAGAGAUUGAAGUGAAGUAAACGACCAUCUCUCUUAUCACCUGUACUUGAAAAGAUAAGCAGCAAAGUACAACUAACUAAUGCAAGUUGAUCAAAUCACCUCUCCACAUCAAGAUAUAUUUCUUGCAGGGAUGACUUAGAGUACAACAAAGUAAUGCAUGUAGUAAAGAAUCCUCAUCAAGAAAAAAAUAAAGCUUGGAUCUUUUGAAAGAGUAAGAAGAAAAAAAGUACAAGCAACUUAUGCAUGCAGAAAUGAACCCAGUGGAGAUAAAGCUUGUAUCUUUAAAAAGAAUGGAAAUGUUUAAGAAGAAGAAUAGAAGAAUCUGAAUUUACCGCAACAAUUCCAUCUCUUCCAGAAAGUACAAGUAUAUCUGCACAAGAUACAACUCCAGGACACUCCCUUUCCAAAGCUUCCUUGAUAGUUUCAAGAUACCUGAAAUUUCUAAGUCCGAAGCUCCGGUCUGUCUCUUUCUCAGACAGUGUUCUCCUUGUUGAGUCCAAAAGCAAUGAAGCAUCACAUGACUGUAACAUAUAUAGCAAAACAAUAGUUGUAAAAUCUGCAUCAAAACUUGUACUCUCUUUAUAUAUAUAUAUAUANNNNNNNNNNNNNNNNNNNNNNNNNNNNNNNNNNNNNNNNNNNNUAUAUAUAUAUAUAGAUAGAUCAUGAGUGUUGUGAACUAUGUGCAUUAAGAGUUGUACCUCAACACCACAGUCAUGGAAGAUGUUUCUGAGCCAAGAGAAAGCAGUGUUCUUGUGGCGUUUGUAAAGAAGCAUGACUUGUUCUUUAAUGAUAUCUUCAGCUUGUGGGCAUGAAUCUCUGUAGAAGUUUAAAAUAAGGCCUGAGUCUGACUCGGUUGACUCAGUGUCUGCAACUGAAGCAAUGGCUAAUAGGGAGAAGAGAGCAAAGAAAAGGAGAGCUUUGGUACCCA
Molecule: long non-coding RNA, 2732 nt
Filed under: Lactuca sativa (garden lettuce)
Lineage: Eukaryota; Viridiplantae; Streptophyta; Magnoliopsida; Asterales; Asteraceae
Description: long non-coding RNA (LSAT_LNC007041)
Source: RNAcentral